UAAUACGGAGGUGGCAAGCGUUGCUCGGAAUCACUGGGCGUAAAGGGCGCGUAGGCGGGGAGGUAAGUCGGGUGUGAAAUCCCUCGGCCCAACCGAGGAACUGCGCCCGAGACUGCUUCUCUUGAGUCCCGGAGAGGAAGGUGGAAUUCCCGGUGUAGCGGUGAAAUGUGUAGAGAUCGGGAGGAACACCGGUGGCGAAGGCGGCCUUCUGGACGGUGACUGACGCUGAGGCGCGAAAGCGUGGGGAGCAAACGGGAUUAGAUACCCCGGUAGUCCACGCUGUAAACGAUGGGUGCUAGGUGUGGGGGGUAUCGACCCCUCCCGUGCCGAAGCUAACGCAUUAAGCACCCCGCCUGGGGAGUACGGCCGCAAGGUUG
This 377-nucleotide ribosomal RNA is filed under the name uncultured bacterium. RNAcentral describes it as "bacterial SSU rRNA". It matches the Rfam family "Bacterial small subunit ribosomal RNA", at positions 521 to 896 of the family's 1533-position model. The record is from RNAcentral.